GAUGAACGCUGGCGGCGUGCCUAAUACAUGCAAGUCGAGCGAACAGACGAGGAGCUUGCUCCUCUGAUGUUAGCGGCGGACGGGUGAGUAACACGUGGAUAACCUACCUAUAAGACUGGGAUAACUUCGGGAAACCGGAGCUAAUACCGGAUAACAUGUUGAACCGCAUGGUUCAACAGUGAAAGACGGUCUUGCUGUCACUUAUAGAUGGAUCCGCGCCGCAUUAACUAGUUGGUAAGGUAACGGCUUACCAAGGCAACGAUGCGUAGCCGACCUGAGAGGGUGAUCGGCCACACUGGAACUGAGACACGGUCCAGACUCCUACGGGAGGCAGCAGUAGGGAAUCUUCCGCAAUGGGCGAAAGCCUGACGGAGCAACGCCGCGUGAGUGAAGAAGGUCUUCGGAUCGUAAAACUCUGUUAUUAGGGAAGAACAAAUGUGUAAGUAACUAUGCACGUCUUGACGGUACCUAAUCAGAAAGCCACGGCUAACUACGUG
This 497-nucleotide ribosomal RNA is filed under the name uncultured bacterium. RNAcentral's name for it is "partial 16S ribosomal RNA". It matches the Rfam family "Bacterial small subunit ribosomal RNA", at positions 28 to 507 of the family's 1533-position model. The record is from RNAcentral.